This 477-nucleotide ribosomal RNA is filed under the name uncultured bacterium. RNAcentral describes it as "bacterial SSU rRNA". It matches the Rfam family "Bacterial small subunit ribosomal RNA", at positions 19 to 518 of the family's 1533-position model. The record is from RNAcentral.
AUGGCUCAGGACGAACGCUGGCGGCGUGCUUAACACAUGCAAGUUGAACGGUAUGACAUGGAAGCUUGCUGAAGUGUCAUAUAGUAGCGGACGGGUGAGUAAUGCAUGAGAAGCUGCCAUUGGGAGGGGGACAACAGUUGGAAACGGCUGCUAAUACCCCGUAUGCCGGAGGGUGAAAGGGAGUAAUCCGCCCGAUGAGGUGCUCAUGUCCUAUCAGCUGGUUGGUGGGGUAACGGCCUACCAAGGCGACGACGGGUAGCCGGCCUGAGAGGGUGAACGGCCACACUGGAACUGAGAUACGGUCCAGACUCCUACGGGAGGCAGCAGUGGGGAAUAUUGGGCAAAUGGGGGCAACCCUGACCCAGCGACGCCGCGUGGGGGAAGACGGCCUUCGGGUUGUAAACCCCUUUUGUACGGGAAGAAGGAAGUGACGGUACUGUACGAAUAAGUCCCGGCUAACUACGUGCCAGCAGCAGC